This 891-nucleotide ribosomal RNA is filed under the name uncultured archaeon. Its description in RNAcentral is "bacterial SSU rRNA". It matches the Rfam family "Archaeal small subunit ribosomal RNA", at positions 93 to 982 of the family's 1478-position model. The record is from RNAcentral.
GUAACACGUGGAUAACCUGCCCUUAGGACCGGCAUAACCCUGGGAAACUGGGGAUAAUUCCGGAUAACCCAUGAAUGCUGGAAUGCUUCGUGGGUAAAAUGGUUUCGACCGCCCAAGGAUGGAUCUGCGGCCUAUCAGGUAGUAGUGGGUGUAGUGUACCUACUAGCCGACGACGGGUACGGGUUGUGAGAGCAAGAGCCCGGAGAUGGAUUCUGAGACAUGAAUCCAGGCCCUACGGGGCGCAGCAGGCGCGAAAACUUUACAAUGCGGGAAACCGCGAUAAGGGGACACUGAGUGCCAGCAUCUUAUGUUGGCUGUCCGCAUGUUUAAAAAGCAUGUGUUAGCAAGGGCUGGGCAAGACCGGUGCCAGCCGCCGCGGUAACACCGGCAGCCCGAGUGGUGAUCACUAUUAUUGGGUCUAAAGGGUCCGUAGCCGGUUUGAUCAGUCUUUUGGGAAAUCUGACAGCUUAACUGUUAGGCUUCCAAAGGAUACUGUCAGACUUGGGACCGGGAGAGGUAAGAGGUACUACAGGGGUAGGAGUGAAAUCUUGUAAUCCCUGUGGGACCACCAGUGGCGAAGGCGUCUUACCAGAACGGGUCCGACGGUGAGGGACGAAAGCUGGGGGCACGAACCGGAUUAGAUACCCGGGUAGUCCCAGCCGUAAACGAUGCUCGCUAGGUGUCAGGAAUGGUGCGACCGUUUCUGGUGCCGUAGGGAAGCCGUGAAGCGAGCCACCUGGGAAGUACGGCCGCAAGGCUGAAACUUAAAGGAAUUGGCGGGGGAGCACUACAACGGGUGGAGCCUGCGGUUUAAUUGGACUCAACGCCGGAAAACUCACCGGGGGCGACAGCAAUAUGUAGGUCAGGCUAAAGACCUUACCCGAAUCGCUG